This 892-nucleotide ribosomal RNA is filed under the name uncultured organism. Its description in RNAcentral is "SSU rRNA". It matches the Rfam family "Bacterial small subunit ribosomal RNA", at positions 505 to 1398 of the family's 1533-position model. The record is from RNAcentral.
GUGCGAGCAGCCGCGGUAACACGUAGGGGGCAAGCGUUGUCCGGAAUGAUUGGGCGUAAAGGGCGCGCAGGCGGCCUCUUAAGUCUGAUGUGAAAGCCCACGGCUCAACCGUGGAGGGACAUUGGAAACUGGGGGGCUUGAGUGCAGGAGAGGGGAGUGGAAUUCCACGUGUAGCGGUGAAAUGCGUAGAGAUGUGGAGGAACACCAGUGGCGAAGGCGGCUCUCUGGCCUGUGACUGACGCUGAGGCGCGAAAGCGUGGGGAGCGAACAGGAUUAGAUACCCUGGUAGUCCACGCCGUAAACGAUGAGUGCUAGGUGUUAGGGGGGAGCACCCCUUAGUGCUGAAGUCAACACAUUAAGCACUCCGCCUGGGGAGUACGACCGCAAGGUUGAAACUCAAAGGAAUUGACGGGGGCCCGCACAAGCAGUGGAGCAUGUGGUUUAAUUCGAAGCAACGCGAAGAACCUUACCAGGUCUUGACAUCCCUCUGACGGGUUCAGAGAUGGACCGUUCCUUCGGGACAGAGGAGACAGGUGGUGCAUGGUUGUCGUCAGCUCGUGUCGUGAGAUGUUGGGUUAAGUCCCGCAACGAGCGCAACCCUUGACCUUUGUUGCCAGCAUUAAGUUGGGCACUCAGAGGUGACUGCCGGUGACAAACCGGAGGAAGGUGGGGAUGACGUCAAAUCAUCAUGCCCCUGAUGACCUGGGCGACACACGUGCCACAAUGGGCGGUACAGAGGGCAGCGAAGCCGCGAGGCGGAGCGAAUCCCAGAAGGCCGCUCUCAGUUCGGAUUGCAGGCUGCAACUCGCCUGCAUGAAGGAGGAAUUGCUAGUAAUCGCGGAUCAGCAUGCCGCGGUGAGUCCGUUCCCGGGCCUUGCACACACCGCCCGUC